UUAGACUCACUACUACAGCCUGGUA
Molecule: non-coding RNA, 25 nt
Filed under: Mus musculus (house mouse)
Lineage: Eukaryota; Metazoa; Chordata; Mammalia; Rodentia; Muridae
Source: RNAcentral